Molecule: long non-coding RNA, 7028 nt
Filed under: Triticum aestivum (bread wheat)
Lineage: Eukaryota; Viridiplantae; Streptophyta; Magnoliopsida; Poales; Poaceae
Description: long non-coding RNA (TAES_LNC021873)
Source: RNAcentral
UCGUGGUGCUCGUGCAUUGGGAGGCCAUGUUCCACCGACGCCGGCCCUCCUGCUUGCUGUGACACAGUACAGGUUAGCACCGUUUCCCAUCUCUGUCAAGAUCAAAACCGCGUUCGUUUGCUUGAUUGAUUCAAACCACGUCACCAGAUUCAGACUGCAUGAAGAAUGUCUCUAGUACAUGUAGGAGUCGUUUGUUAUGUGCCGUCCAUCAAUCAUGCAAGAAAAUUUUCUUUUUCUUGCUCAAAAUAUUCAUGCGUGCGUGCCUUCCUGCCUAAUUAGCAGCAGUUAUUUUUUAAUGAACACCAGUGAAGAGUUUAAGUUGUGGUGGGCGAACAAAACACUGAGUGGCUAAUUGAAUCCAUUUGCGUGGCUAGUUUGCAGUUGUGGGGGACGAACAAACUGAGUUUUAGUAGUAGUGUACCAUGCAUAUAUUUGUGCUGUCAAAAAUUAUUCUCUUUAUCCUGGAUUGCAAUGUAAAGCCAGCCGGGCUACAUUAAUUGAGUCUAGUCACACAACACUAUCAUGGCAGUUUGAUCGCUUCAUAACAAUUACAGUCGACAACUCAAACCUGACAAUAGUCCUUUGAAUCUCCAAAGCAGCAGUUUGGAUACAUGUGAAUCUGAGCCCGUAUGCGCCAUAGGAGCAUAGUAGAGAUAAACUUCCCUGUUGUUUGCCGGCUCUUUACUGUUUACUAGUUCACUACUGGAAUUGAUGCUUUCUUAUUUUCGUUUGUCGCCAGGAUUCAAGGAUUUCAAUGGGGAGGAAUACACCAAGCAAACGGCACAACAAGGAACCAUCUGACCCAUUAUAGGUAACAGCUAGACCUGACAUGGAAAAUAAGCUUUGUGGUCUGGCCCUGAUGUAUUUACUGAUUAAUGUGUGUUUUACAGCAAGGCUGACUUUAUAUCUUGCUCUUCUUGAUUCUCAUCUACUUAAUCAUGCAGCUGUGUGGCUAAUUGCUUGGGACUUGUCCCCCUUGGGCUGGAAGUUUAGCCUAUCCGUUAUUCAUGAUGAUUGAUGUGGUUACCCGCAAAGGUUUAAACUUGAACUAGUUGUUUUGGGUUGCUGUUGAAUGUAAUAAGCUGUGACGAGUGCCUGGAUGGAUUCAUGUUUUGCUGGAUGCUAGCACUUAGCUAGUUUCCCCAUAUACAACUGAUUAGUUUAGUUGAUGUCCUCACUGUAUCAUCAUGGUUUUAGUUUAUAUAAGUGGAAACUGGUUACUAUUCUGAAAUUAAUCAACCAGCAUGCUUUUGUUAAUUGCUAUGGAGUAAUUCUGAUAAGAACAAGUUCAAUUUACUUGGUCUUGGUAUAGCUUGUUCAUUUCCUGAAUUGACAUGGUAUAGUAACUACAUGUUCAUGGUUAUGCUACUGUUUGGUCGUAGUAAUUCAAUCAAUAUGCUUUCUUGGCCAUGAUAGCAGGAUUGGCUUUUAGAGUUCCUAUUUUCUGCUGAGGUGGUUCUUGGUCUUGCUUGAUAGGAUAAGAUACCGAUAUUCUCUACUUGAUCUUUUACUGAGUGCUAGUGGCGUGCUUUGUGUUGCUGAUGAGAGAUAUUGCAAACUUGAGCUAUUCCCAUGUGUCAUGCGCAGCGAGGAUCUUGAUUUUACAUUUAUGCCCACAGUAGAAGAUAUAUUCUACUUUCGCCAAUGGAAAAUGAUAAACUUGUCAACUUUUGGAUGUCCAUUUUAGUGAGAGGAUUUGUACAAUUAUGCAUGCAAUUGGAUCUGGUCUUUCUAUGACAUGUUAGUCUACAUUUGCUUGGUUAGAGCAACCUGUGGAUUUUUUCAACAAGCACAAAACUAUGUAAAUUAGACCCUGCUGUAUAUGAUGUUAAAAACAUCCUCUCCUUUAAUAUGUUAUUUUUUUCUUUCAUAUAGGCAUGUAAACCAUGACCCUGUACCACAAUGGCUCUUUCUAAGGGUGAUAUUAGAUAGAGAUUUGUGUGCUACUUGCUUAGAAUCAAGGAAAUGGUUAUUGAUUGCUGCCAUGGAUUUUACAUAUAUUCCAUGGCUUUUGCAUACGUUUUUGCUAUGGUGCGGGACGCGCGACAGUGACAACUUAGUGCCAUACUUUGGUCCAUUGUUUGGUGUUGGUGCCAUAGCGAUAGAUGAUGAUGGUGUUGUUACCACGAAAAGUUUAAAUCUGAGAUUGUCGUUUGUGUUGUCAAAAAUUAUUCUCUCUAUCCUGGAUUGCAAUGUAAAGCCAUCCGGGCUACAUUAAUCGAGUCUAGUGACACAACAUUAUCAUGUCAGUUUGAUCGCUUUAUAACAAUUACAGUCGACAACUCAAAGCAUAAAAAUGAUACAGAGAAACUGCUCCUUGUUUUCUAAUGUUUAGAACGGUGUGUUGUUUUUCAAUCUUCCCAUUCUCCUCCUGCAUAUUCUAUACUACAACCUAGCUCUUGAUUCAUACUAAAUCACUGUUCUUUGCUUGGUAUUUGUACUAGUGGUCAGGAGGUGAAUGUGUUUUCCUUCUUGUAACUAUGAAACAUGUCAAUGGCAUCACUAUUUCGAACCUGACAGUAGUCCUUUGAAUCUCAAUCCAAAGCAGCAAUUUGGAUACAUGUGAAACUGAGCCCGUAUGUGAAUUCAUGCUUUUUUAUUUUCUCAGUAUAAGGCCUGUUUGCCGCUCACUAUCUCGUUUGUCGCCAGGAUUCAAGGAUUUCAAUGGGAAGGAAUACGCCAAGCAAGUGGCACAACAAGGAACCAUCUGACACAUCAUGGGUAACAGCUAGACUUGACAUCUAAAAUAAGUUGUGUGGUCUGGCCUUUAUGUAUUUACUGAUUAAUGUGUGUUUUACAGCAAGGCCGACUUUAUAUAUUGCUCUUCUUGAUUCUUAUCUACCUAAGCAUGCAGCUGUGUGGCUAAUUGCCUGGGAUUUUGCUCCCCUUGGGCUGGAACUUUAGCUUAUCUGUUAUUGAUCAUGAUUGAUGUGGUUACCCGCAAAAUUUUAAACCUGAACUAGUUGUUUUGGGUUGUUAUUGAAUGUAAUCAGUUGGGACGAGUGCCUGGAUGGGUUUUUGUUUUGCUGGGUGCUAGCUCUUAGCCAAUUUUGCCAUAUACAACGAUUAGUUUAGUUGAUGUCCUCACUGUAUCAUUAUGGUUUUAGUUUAUAAGUGGAAACUAGUCACUGUUCUGAAAUUAAUCAACUGGCAUGCUUUUGUUGAUUGCUAUGGAGUAAUUCUGAUAAGAACAAGGCCAAUUUACUUGGUCUUGGUAUAGCUUGUUCUUUCCUGAAUUGCCAUGGUAUAGUAACUACAUCGACAUGUCAUGGAUAUGCUACUGUUUGGGUCGCAGUAAUUCAAUCGAUAUGCUUUCUUGGCAUUAUAGCAGGAUUGGCUUUCAGAGUAAAUAUUUCCUGCUUAGGUGAUUCUUGGUCUUGUUUGAUAGGAUAAGACGAGACCGAUAUUCUCUACUUCAUCUUUUACUGAGUGUUAGUGGCGUGCUUUGUGUUGCUGACGAGAGGCUUGGUAAACUUGAGCUAUUCCCAUGUGCCAUGCUGUGCGCUACGAGGAUCUUGAUUAUACAUUUAUGCUCACUUUAGAAGAUAUAUUCUACUUUCACCAAUGAAAAAUGAUAAACUUGUCAACUUAUGGAUGCCAUUUUAGGGAGAGGAUUUGUACAAUUAUGCAUGCAACUGGAUCCAAGUCUUUCUAUGAAAUGUUAGCCUACAUUUGCUUGGUUAGAGCAACAUGUGGAUUUUUUCAGCGAGCACAAAACUAUGUAAAUUAGACCCUGCUGUACACGAUGUUAAAAACAUCCUCUCCUUUAAUAUGCUAUUUUUUCAUAUAGGCAUGUGAACCACAUCCCCGUACCACAAUGGUUUUUUCUAAGGUGAUGUUAGAUAGAGGUUUGUGUGCUAGUACUUGCUUAGAAUCAAGGAAAUGGUUAUUGAUGAUGAUAUUGAUCAGGCCCGUACGGGAGGCAGGUGCAGGGUGUGCACUGGCACAGGGCCCCCCAAAAAUGGGGCCCCCAUAUUAAUUCUUGAAGUUAUGUUUACGGGGCCCCCAAACUUAUGAAGAGUAGGCAAAUUCGUUUGAAAACUAUGUAUAGAGAGCAUGUACUCCGUGGGAGUCUCCCUACUCCACACUGUCUUUCCCUCAUCUCUCCUUCGCAAAUUAUCUUUGGGGAGUUGGGGACUCUGCUCAGCAUUAGUUACAGAGAGAUGCAUGUCUUUUCACAUGCUACCUUUGGUCUUCCCAAUGUCAGCACUUGCCUCUAAAAAAAGUAGUAAAUCUAUAUCACAGCAUUAGUUACGGAGUAUGACAGUACUUGGGGGCGGAGUCAAAUACUAAUUCACGUGUUAAGUACAACAGUAGUUUGGGUAAUGAUGCGCUGGCAUACAAAUGUCUCUAAAUUUAAAAGUUGCAUGUCUUUUGCAUUAAGACGAAUAUUCAUCCGUCGACGAGUCCAAUAAUGUAUUUUUGGUGGCAUAAUUCAUCUUUCACUAACACAUUUCCGCAGUAGAUAAAUUGAAGACCUAAAGAAUCAGUGCGCACACCUUACAAAUCCGGAUAGAGGGAAUACAAUAUAUCACUUAAAAACUAAGCAUUCACGAUUUUACGUAUUUUCAACAUAUACUUCUUGAAAAAGGUUAACAUUAGUUCUAAAAAACUGUUGCCUGUAUGUUGAAAAUGCGAAAGGUCAUACUAACUAGUCUUCUUAAUGACUAGGACCUAGACUCAGAUUUUGCACAGGUGAAAGGAUCGAGAUGGACUUAGAGGGGGGUGAAUAGGUACAAUUACAAAUUUUAAUUAUUACUAAGCAAUUUUAGGAAAUAAUGCGGAAAAUGAAAGUGAGCCUAACAAUUGCUAGUAUGAUACUAAUGAGCUAAGCAAGAUAAUCAAGAGGCACAAAUAUAUGAGUAAGUAAGCACUAAGAGACAAGUAACCACAAGUAGAGAGAUAGGGUUAGGAAUAACCGCAACUCCGAGAGACGAGGAUGUAAGCCGAUGUUCACUUCCUUGGAGGGAAGCUACGUCACCGUUUAGAGAGGUGGAUGUUACCACGAAGGCACACCAACGCCACGAAGGCUCACCCUAUUCUCUCUUUGAGACAACACCACGGAGGCGUUUCUCAACCACUAGUGGUAGACCUUGGGGUGGUCUCCAAACCCUCACAAACUUUUCCGAGGGUAAUCACAAAGGUCGAUUCCUCUCCGGAUGACUCCUACCGCCUAGGAGUCUCCAACCUCCAAGAGUAACAAGAACGAUGGGGAAAUGCUCAAAACUUGCUCAAGUCACGAAUUCCUUUGGUGCAAAGAAAGGGAAGAAGUGGAUCUAUCACUUGAUUGGAGAACUUCUCUCAAAAAGCUCCUAGAACACUUGGAAUCUAGGAUUUAGUGUGGAUGAAUGAGAGAGAGAGAGAGUGAGGAGUGUUCUUGUAGGGGCUCAAAGUGAAUGGUCAACCCUAUCCCGUGGAAGGGAAGGGAGUAUAUAUAGGUGGUGGGAAAAAGUGACCGUUUGGGGUACAGGAUGGCUGGACGUCCGGAGAACGUCGGACGUCCGGAGAACGUCGGACGUCCGGAGGCCCAAAUGGGUCCGGACGUCCGACAGUCAUCGGACGACCGGCCGCUGUGAAAAGUGUGACCAACAAUCCAGUGUACAGGAUACGGACGUCCGAGCUGGGCCGGACAUCCGUAAGAAUGCUUCUGAUGUGAAAGUGUCGGACGUCCGGCGGGUUCCGGACAUCCGUAAAAAUGUUUCUGUUGUGGAAGUGUCGGACGUCCGGAAGUGUCCGGACGUCCGGGCAAUCAGGAAGGACCGGACGUCCGAAGGUAAGGUAGCAAGUUUGAGCAAGUUUUUUUCACAGAUCCAUCGAUCCCCUCUUAAUAGUGCGGGAUCCCUAUACUCAAGAACAAACCAAAAGUGAAGUCAACAUCUUGUACCUCCAUUCUUGAGUUAUAUGCUUUUGUCCCUAGUCAUUAUCCAUGCACGCGGUCUUUGGAACAUAAUCCUGAGAUAUACUUGAUAAACAUGAUUAGUCCCGAGCAUAUGUGUUGUCAUCAACAUCAAAAUAUGAUUAAGGGCAUGAUUGCACUUUCAACAGGGCCCCCAAAUUCUCAGGUACGACCCUGAUAUUGAUUGCUGCCAUGGAUUAUAUAUAUAUUCCAUGGCUUUUGCAUACAUUUUUGCUAUGGUACGUGACGUGCGAGAGUGACAACUUAGUGCCAUACUUUGGUCCAUUGCUUGGUGUUGGUCGAAAAGUUCAAAUCUGAGAUUGUCAUUUAGGGUUGCUGCUGAAUGUGGUCUUGUUAUGGUGGUGUGGAUCAGUUUUGGCAAGUUGCCCGAUGGGUUAUUGUUUUGCUGGGUGCUACCUCUUGCCUUGUUUUGUAUUCCCAAGUACCGUCUUUUUAAAACUCAAGGUCCUGCUUGCUUGUCUGCAGGCCAGGCCGCUACAGGAGAGAUGCAUCAAUGACCUGUGACUAUUCAGACUCACUUGAAGGACGGCGUGGUGAACUCCCAUUGUUGGUGAUGAAUGCCAGAUUUGAUUCAUCAGCUUACUGAGCCUGUCGUGUUGUUGGAUUAGUAGAGAAACGCUUGUUAGAGGAUUUUGACUUUAUCCAGUGCAUGAGUGAAUGAAAUUGAACAGUUUCAUUCUUGAUUUGGAGUGCAUGAAUGGAUCAUCCUGAUUUGCUUGAGUUGGCAAAUGUGCGGGCAUCGCAGACCAAAUAAAAUCUUCUAUGUUUGUGCCUUUUCUAUUGGCUUAUUAUGCAUUGCAUGGGUGUGUUGUGCAUAUAUGCAAGUGAGAUGGAUAUGGAGAUGGAGAAAUGGCCUGCAUGUAGGGUAACUAUGUCAAGUCAAUGAAUCAGCUAACAUUGUCAUCCGUUUAAUAUGCUCGUCAAGGCUAUGUCAUUUUCUUGAAGAUGUGUACAUGUCUGCAACCUCUUAUUUCUGCAUAUUAGUCCAACUGAUGCCGUUGACGAACUGAUACCCAAGCUGGAGUAUUUACUGUUCAACGUUCUGAUAAUCAUGAAUUCUUGAUGCCUCUUCUGGUCUAGAGCGCAACUAACUGGUGCAUGUUGGUUUCAG